Molecule: ribosomal RNA, 253 nt
Filed under: uncultured bacterium
Lineage: Bacteria
Description: partial 16S ribosomal RNA
Rfam family: Bacterial small subunit ribosomal RNA
Source: RNAcentral
UACGUAGAUGGCAAGCGUUGUCCGGAUUUAUUGGGCGUAAAGCGAGCGCAGGCGGUUCUUUAAGUCUGAUGUGAAAGCCCCUGGCUUAACCAGGGAGGGUCAUUGGAAACUGGAGAACUUGAGUGCAGAAGAGGAAAGUGGAAUUCCAUGUGUAGCGGUGAAAUGCGUAGAUAUAUGGAGGAACACCAGUGGCGAAGGCGACUUUCUGGUCUGUAACUGACGCUGAGGCUCGAAAGCAUGGGGAGCAAACAGG